Molecule: ribosomal RNA, 301 nt
Filed under: uncultured bacterium
Lineage: Bacteria
Description: partial 16S ribosomal RNA
Rfam family: Bacterial small subunit ribosomal RNA
Source: RNAcentral
CAGCAGCCGCGGGAAUACGAAGGGUGCAAGCGUUACUCGGAAUUACUGGGCGUAAAGCGUGCGUAGGUGGUGGUUUAAGUCCGUUGUGAAAGCCCUGGGCUCAACCUGGGAAUUGCAGUGGAUACUGGGUCACUAGAGUGUGGUAGAGGAUAGUGGAAUUUCCGGUGUAGCAGUGAAAUGCGUAGAGAUCGGAAGGAACAUCAGUGGCGAAGGCGGCCAUCUGGGACAACACUGACGCUGAGGCACGAAAGCGUGGGGAGCAAACAGGAUUAGAUACCCCAGUAGUCCCUGUCUCUUAUAC